GGAGGUUCUUGGGUGAUGCACCCAGAAUCAGGCUCCCUCCUCUCUGGUUCCAGGGUGCAUCCCCUGAGAACCGCU
Non-coding RNA from Myotis lucifugus (little brown bat), 75 nucleotides. NCBI's taxonomy places the organism in Eukaryota, Metazoa, Chordata, Mammalia, Chiroptera, Vespertilionidae. The record is from Rfam.